AUUGAACGCUGGCGGCAUGCUUUACACAUGCAAGUCGAACGGCAGCGCGGGCUUCGGCCUGGCGGCGAGUGGCGAACGGGUGAGUAAUACAUCGGAACGUGCCCAGUAGUGGGGGAUAGCUCGGCGAAAGCCGGAUUAAUACCGCAUACGACCUGAGGGUGAAAGCGGGGGAUCUUCGGACCUCGCGCUAUUGGAGCGGCCGAUGGCAGAUUAGCUAGUUGGUGGGGUAAAGGCCUACCAAGGCGACGAUCUGUAGCUGGUCUGAGAGGACGACCAGCCACACUGGGACUGAGACACGGCCCAGACUCCUACGGGAGGCAGCAGUGGGGAAUUUUGGACAAUGGGCGAAAGCCUGAUCCAGCAAUGCCGCGUGUGUGAUGAAGGCCUUCGGGUUGUAAAGCACUUUUGGCGGGAACGAAAAGGACUGUGCCAAUACCACGGUUCGAUGGCGGUACCCGCAGAAUAAGCACCGGCUGACUACGUG
Molecule: ribosomal RNA, 484 nt
Filed under: uncultured bacterium
Lineage: Bacteria
Description: partial 16S ribosomal RNA
Rfam family: Bacterial small subunit ribosomal RNA
Source: RNAcentral